AGUGGCGGACGGGUGAGUAACACGUAGGUAACCUGCCCCAAAGCGGGGGAUAACAUUUGGAAACAGAUGCUAAUACCGCAUAACAGUUCGAAUCGCAUGAUUCAAAUUUAAAAGAUGGUUUCGGCUAUCACUUUGGGAUGGACCUGCGGCGCAUUAGCUUGUUGGUAGGGUAACGGCCUACCAAGGCUGUGAUGUGUAGCCGAGUUGAGAGACUGAUCGGCCACAAUGGAACUGAGACACGGUCCAUACUCCUACGGGAGGCAGCAGUAGGGAAUCUUCCACAAUGGGCGCAAGCCUGAUGGAGCAACACCGCGUGAGUGAAGAAGGGUUUCGGCUCGUAAAGCUCUGUUGUUAGAGAAGAACGUGCGUGAGAGCAACUGUUCACGCAGUGACGGUAUCUAACCAGAAAGUCACGGCUAACUACGUGCCAGCAGCCGCGGUAAUACGUAGGUGGCAAGCGUUAUCCGGAUUUAUUGGGCGUAAAGCGAGCGCAGGCGGUUUGAUAAGUCUGAUGUGAAAGCCUUUGGCUUAACCAAAGAAGUGCAUCGGAAACUGUCAGACUUGAGUGCAGAAGAGGACAGUGGAACUCCAUGUGUAGCGGUGGAAUGCGUAGAUAUAUGGAAGAACACCAGUGGCGAAAGGCGGCUGUCUGGUCUGCAACUGACGCUGAGGCUCGAAAGCAUGGGUAGCGAACAGGAUUAGAUACCCUGGUAGUCCAUGCCGUAAACGAUGAGUGCUAGGUGU
This 744-nucleotide ribosomal RNA is filed under the name uncultured bacterium. RNAcentral's name for it is "bacterial SSU rRNA". It matches the Rfam family "Bacterial small subunit ribosomal RNA", at positions 94 to 823 of the family's 1533-position model. The record is from RNAcentral.